Long non-coding RNA from Mustela lutreola (European mink), 2182 nucleotides. RefSeq lists it as uncharacterized. Lineage: Eukaryota; Metazoa; Chordata; Mammalia; Carnivora; Mustelidae. The record is from RefSeq and is a predicted model, not a curated record. The transcript is spliced from 5 exons.
UGCAGUGUCACUCUUCACAUGCUGUCUUUUAAAUAAAUCCUCUGCAACUGGGUUAUAUUAUAUUAAAAAGUUAAAAUCAGCCUUGAGUGGACAAAGUAUCCAAAAUAGGUGAAGACAUUUGUGUCUGCUGCUUAGAGAUGCUCCAGUCAGAAUACGCAGCCCUCAGCUGACCUACCGCAUCAUCCCCUCCAGUUCCAUCCACGUCGAUGCAAAUGGUGGGUGUUCAUCCUUUCUGAUGGCAGCCAUUCUUUUUGACCUGAGUACUGCAAGCCUUGGUCUGCUUCAAGAUCUUCAGAGGACAGCUGUUCCCUGGAAGGCUCUCCCACAGGCCCGUGUCGUGAUCACACAUGCAGUUCCACAAUUCAGCCAGCAGGGAGAGGUCACCCGCUCGGUAGGCUCCAGGCCCAGCCUGGAGCCCAACGUGGGACUCAAGACCCUGAGAUCCAGACCUGAGCUGAGAUCAAGAGUCAGAUGCUUUACCGAUUGAGUCACCCAGGCACCCCUCUGCUGCUUUUAAAUACUUGUUUUAGAGUAAAGGAAUCCCAGAAUCUGGCUUGGGAGAGAUGUUACACGUCAUUUAGUCCAAACUCCCCAUUGAUGCCUGCAAAAGUCCUGUCAUGGGAUAUUUUCCCCCAUCUGUGUUUGUGCUUCUCUAGCGGUAUGAAACUCCUAAGGCAAUGUUUCCAUCACUGGGCUACUUUGAAAAUGAUAAAGUAUUUCCUUACACUAAGUUGCCAUCAGUCUCCCUGUCAGCCUCUGUAGCACGCAGAACAGAGCCGCCGUACAUGGGAGGGCGGUGCUCAUAUUCCCAUUUGGACUUGUCUACGAGAUCACUUGUUUACUGGAUUUUUCUCAGAUGAUAUAGUUUGAGGUCAGGUUUCCAUCCUGUUUCAUUUCUUCUGCACACGUUUGGGUUGACCUCUAUCCCUUAUAAUGAGGGAGAUCUAGGGCCUGAGACUGUGUCCUUGCUGGGAUCAGACCACGUGUCUGCCACCUUGUUGCUGCUGACUCAUGCUGAGAUUACCCCCACUCAUAUCCAGCCGUCUCUUUCCCCACAUUCCCGCCAUAAAACACAUCCUCUUCGUCCUACACUAGUUCAGUUUUUAACUGACUUGCCAGAAUUUAUCUGGAUUCGGUUUCUUUCCAUGGCCCAACAUUAUCAGGGUAUUUUGAAUUCUAGUUCCAACACAAACAAGCCCUACUUGAAAGAAAACCAUCUUGUUUCACAAAUUUUAUUCCUUUUGCAUGAUGUCACUUAUUUUCAUCAUACAAAUAAUGUUUUGUAGCACAGAUGGAAAAUUGAGUAUGCAUUGUUUUUAAAGUUGUGUGAAAUGUUGGACAAUCUCCACUUACUUCAGUGAGUGGACUGCACGUAGGGAUCUAAGAGACGCUAUUUUCUGGCAGUUCCACCUGCAGGACUUUGGUACCUUGCCCGCAGCAAAAUGGUGAGUGGAGAAGAACUUGUGAUCUCAAAAGACAUGUGAAUUUCUUACAAGCGUUGCCAAUGUCCCACUCCGCUAUGUGGUUUCUCUAACUUUUCGACUAUUUGGAACAAAGGUGGAAAUGGAGUAUUGUCAAUCAGUGACACAAAAUGGUAAAGUUCAUCUAGUAGCUGAAUUGUCACUUUAUAUCAAGAGCGAAAUCCUUAAAAGGUAAUCCGAGAGUAGAUAACAAACCUUACCUAUAACAGAGGUUUAACCAUUGACAGAUGAAGCCGUUAUGAAGGCCACAGGGCAACCAAGUGGUCAUGAACGUAGGUCCAAUUGAUUUUUCCAAAAUCUGUAAUAAAAAUUUGUAGUAACUUUAUUUUUUACUCUUGAAGGGACUGUAUCACAGAAAAAAAAACUCAUAUAAGGAGAUAUUUUUCUUUUCUGCAUGCUUUAUUAUUGUCAGCAACAUUUUAGAUAGACAAAUCUAAAAUAAAAGUGCAAAAAAUGGCACGAGGUUUCCAUUUUGUUAUGUAGACAUUGGUUCCAAUACUUUUUGAAAAUAUCAUAAAAUUGGAAAAUAUCUCAGGAGAAAAAUUCUCCUGAGAGAAAAAUCUCUGAGGAGAAAAAAUUAAAAGGAAAUUUGGUGGUGACUGUACUUUGAGUUAAGAUAAAGAUAAAAAUUACAGGUUGAAAGGACUAACAACCUAUAGUAACUUACAAAGUGAAGUAUUCUUGGUAAAAGUCACAAAAUU